CCUUCGAUAGCUCAGUUGGUAGAGCGGUGGACUGUAGUUAACGGGAUGCAUAAAAACCAUCUACCUUUUCGUUCGCUUUCGCUGCCCUCAAAAAGCAGCGAUUCCUACACCUUCUAUGCAGACAUCCAUAGGUCGCUGGUUCAAAUCCGGCUCGAAGGA
Lucilia cuprina (Australian sheep blowfly) is the source of this 159-nucleotide transfer RNA. It matches the Rfam family "tRNA". From Rfam's summary of the family: Transfer RNA (tRNA) molecules are approximately 80 nucleotides in length. NCBI's taxonomy places the organism in Eukaryota, Metazoa, Arthropoda, Insecta, Diptera, Calliphoridae. The record is from Rfam.